GAUGAACGCUGGCGGCGUGCCUAAUACAUGCAAGUCGAGCGAACAGACGAGGAGCUUGCUCCUCUGACGUUAGCGGCGGACGGGUGAGUAACACGUGGAUAACCUACCUAUAAGACUGGGAUAACUUCGGGAAACCGGAGCUAAUACCGGAUAAUAUAUUGAACCGCAUGGUUCAAUAGUGAAAGACGGUUUUGCUGUCACUUAUAGAUGGAUCCGCGCCGCAUUAGCUAGUUGGUAAGGUAACGGCUUACCAAGGCAACGAUGCGUAGCCGACCUGAGAGGGUGAUCGGCCUCACUGGAACUGAGACACGGUCCAGACUCCUACGGGAGGCAGCAGUAGGGAAUCUUACGCAAUGGGCGAAAGCUUGACGGAGCAACGCCGCGUGAGUGAUGAAGGUCUUCGGAUCGUAAAACUCUGUUAUUAGGGAAGAACAAAUGUGUAAGUAACUAUGCACGUCUUGACGGUACCUAAUCAGAAAGCCACGGCUAACUACGUG
Molecule: ribosomal RNA, 497 nt
Filed under: uncultured bacterium
Lineage: Bacteria
Description: partial 16S ribosomal RNA
Rfam family: Bacterial small subunit ribosomal RNA
Source: RNAcentral